RNAcentral lists this unclassified non-coding RNA (157 nucleotides) under uncultured Chaetosphaeria. RNAcentral describes it as "sequence contains ITS1". The record is from RNAcentral. Lineage: Eukaryota; Fungi; Ascomycota; Sordariomycetes; Chaetosphaeriales; Chaetosphaeriaceae.
CAGGACUCGCAAGACUCCUUAAACCCUGUGAACUUACUACAAAGCACGUUGCUUCGGCGGGUGCCUUUGGGGGACUUCCCCCGGGGCGCUAAGCCCGCCGGCAGCCUACAAAUUCUGUCUCUUUGCGUUGGCAUCUCGAGUACAAACAAAUAAGUUA